RNAcentral lists this ribosomal RNA (2472 nucleotides) under Triticum aestivum (bread wheat). Its description in RNAcentral is "partial small subunit ribosomal RNA". Lineage: Eukaryota; Viridiplantae; Streptophyta; Magnoliopsida; Poales; Poaceae. The record is from RNAcentral.
AUGAGGGCAACCGGCAAGGUUAUCCUCCUCCGGCUGCUCUUCUUGGCAUUAUGCAUCUCGCUCCUUCCCAUCCAGGCCCCCGCCGCUGACAAGCUCGAGAAAGGCCAGAACCUCACCGACGCCGACGGCGACACGCUCGUCUCGGCCGGCGGCAGCGGCACCUUCACCCUCGGCUUCUUCUCUCCCGGGGCGUCCACCAAGAGGUACCUCGGCAUAUGGUUCUCCGUGUCCAACCACACCGUCUACUGGGUCGCCAACCGCGACCAGCCUCUGCCCGACAGGUCCGGCAUGCUGGUGUUCAACGACGCGGCCACCCUCGUCCUCCUCGACGGCUCCCGCCGGACGGUCUGGUCUUCGUACUUCUCCGGCGGCCCUUCCGCCGCGACGGCUCAGCUUCUCGAGUCCGGCAACCUGGUCGUGCGCAACGGCAGCAGCGACGCCUACCGGUGGCAGUCGUUCGACCACCCGUCGGACACCUUGCUGCCCGGCAUGAAGCUGGGCAAGAUCUUGUGGGCCAAAUCCGAGCUGCAGCUCACGUCGUGGCGAUCGGCCGACGACCCGUCUCCGGGUGACUACCGCCGCACGCUGGAAACCAAGGGGCUCCCGGAGCUCGUCCUGUGGUACCGCGACGUCAAGGCGUACCGCACGGGGCCGUGGAACGGGCUCAUCUUCAACGGCGUCGAGGAGGCGUCGACGUACGCGGACAUGUACCCGCUGCACGUGAGUGGCCUGACGGACAGGUCGACGGAGAUAACGUACGGGUACACCGCCGUGCCCGGCGCGCCGCUGACUCGCGUCGUGGUGAACUACACUGGCGUGGCGGAGCGGCUGGUAUGGAAGGCGGACACCGGGGAGUGGAUCCCCUACUUCACCAGGGCGGCGAGGGAUAACACCUGCGAAGCUUACGCCAAGUGCGGGUCGUUCGGCCUCUGCAACCCCGAGGCGGCGUCGUCGUCGUUCUGCGGCUGCGUGCCGGGGUUCAGCCCCGACUCGCCGUCGGCGUGGCGGAUGAAGCAGUACGCGGGCGGAUGUCGACGAGACGCGGGACUGGAGUGUGGCGGCGGGACGACGACUGACCACUUCAAGGUGGUGCCGAGAGUCAAGCUUCCCGACACGCAGAAUGCGACGGUGGACUUGGACGUCGCCACGCUGGACGAGUGCUCGGCGAAGUGCCUCGCCAACUGCUCGUGCUUGGCCUACGCCGCCGCCGAUAUCCGGGGCGGCGGCAACCGUAGCGGCUGCGUCAUGUGGACGGAUGCCAUCGUUGACCUGCGCCUUAUUGACAGCAAGCAGGAUCUCUUCCUGAGGUUGUCAAAGUCAGAAUUCGUAGCAGAUGGCCAUGGCCGCAAAAGUAAAGGGUUUCCUACUGCACUUGUUGUGGCACCUGUAGCUUCUAUUGUUACUCUUCUUCUGGUCGUCUUUGUGUUUUGGUGGAGAUGGAAGUGCAGAAUCUUAGGCGCUAUUCCUCAAAAUCCAUCCAUGGCCGUUCCUUUGCUAAAUCUAGCUACUAUAAAGCAUGGCACUGGAAAUUUUUCUGAGAGUAAUAUUAUCGGUCAAGGUGGAUUCGGCAUUGUUUAUAAGGGGCAGCUGCCUCAAGGAAAAAUGAUUGCUGUUAAGAGGCUUAAGCAGGCGGCUCUCACUAGGAAAGGCAAGAAAGAUUUCGCGAGAGAAGUAGAAGUGAUGGCCGGCCUCCGGCAUGGCAGUCUCGUUCGCCUCCUUGCUUACUGUAACGAAGGCAAGGAGAGGAUACUCGUCUAUGAAUACAUGGAGAACAAGAGCUUGAACGUCUACAUAUUCGGCACACCUAGCCUUCGUGCUUCACUGAACUGGGCAAAGAGACUGGAAAUAAUCCACGGCAUCGCGCAUGGUGUUGCAUACCUUCACGGUGGAUCGGGCAAGAGUGUAAUCCACAGGGACCUCAAGCCGGGCAACAUUCUUCUGGACGACGAAUGGAAUGCCAAGGUUGCGGACUUUGGCACCGCGAAGCUGUUCGCCGUUGAUCAGAUGGCGCCUGAUCAGACAGUUGUUGUUUCACCGGGAUAUGCAGCCCCGGAGUACGAGAGACAAGGAGAGAUGACACUGAAAUGCGACGUCUACAGCUUUGGAGUUAUCCUCUUGGAGACGCUCAGCGGGCAAAGGAACGGCAGCAUGCAGAGGCUACUUUUGCAUGCUUGGGGACUCUGGGAACAGAGCAAGACCGUGGAACUUCUUGACACAUCAAUAGCAUUGCCACUUCCUGAAUCUGAGCCUGAGCUCUUGUCCGGGCUGAAACGAUGCAUCCAGAUUGGACUCCUCUGUGUCCAAGAAAUGCCCAGCGACAGGCCAACCAUGUCUGCAAUAGUUGCCCUGCUGACAAGCACAACUUCUCAGAUCGAUCGACCAGGAAGGCCGGCGAUGGAUAGCACGGCCGUGCAUUCAUCACAUGAGCUUGAAUCCGGCCUCUCGAGUCCGUCUACAGAUGAUCUGACAUAA